Molecule: ribosomal RNA, 292 nt
Filed under: uncultured bacterium
Lineage: Bacteria
Description: partial 16S ribosomal RNA
Source: RNAcentral
GGACUACUGGGGUAUCUAAUCCUGUUUGCUCCCCACGCUUUCGCGCCUCAGCGUCAGUUAAGGCCCAGCAGGCCGCCUUCGCCGCCGGUGUUCCUCCAGAUCUCUACGAAUUUCACCUCUACACCUGGAAUUCCACCUGCCUCUGCCUUACUCCAGAUCGGUAGUUCCGAAAGCACGUCCCGGGUUGAGCCCAGGGAUUUCACCCCCGGCUUGCCGAUCCGCCUACACGCCCUUUACGCCCAGUAAAUCCGAACAACGCUUGCACCCUCCGUAUUACCGCGGCUGCUGGCAC